Molecule: long non-coding RNA, 2500 nt
Filed under: Homo sapiens (human)
Lineage: Eukaryota; Metazoa; Chordata; Mammalia; Primates; Hominidae
Description: HSALNT0259559
Source: RNAcentral
UAAUCCCAACACUUUAGGAGGCUGAGGCGGGUGGAUCACUUGAGGUCAGGAGUUUGAGACCAGCCUGGCCAACAUGGUAAAACCUCAUCUCUACUUAAAAAAAAAAAAAUACAAAAAUUAGCCGGGUGUAGGGGCACAUGCCUGUAAUCCCAGCUACUCAGGAGGUUGAGGCAGAGAAUCACUUGAACCCGGGAUGCGGAGGUUGCAGUGAGCCGAGAUCGUGCCACUGCACUCCAAACUGGGUGAAAAAAAAAAAGAAAGGAAGAAGGAAGGAAGGAGGGAAAGAAAAGAAAAAGAAAGAGAGAGAAAGAAAGAAAGAAGGAAGGAAAGAAAGAAAGAAAGGAAGGAAGGAAAGAAAAGAAAAAGAGAGAGAGAGAAAGAAAGAGAAAGAAAGAAAGAAAGAGAAAGAAAGAAAGAGGCCGGGUGCGGUGGCUCACGCCUGUAAUCCCAGCACUUUGGGAGGCCGAGGCGGGCAGAUCAUGAGGUCAGGAGAUCGAGACCAUCCUGGCUAACACGGUGAAACCCCGUCUCUACUAAAAAUACAAAAAAUUAGCUGGGCGUAGUGGCAGGCGCCUGUAGUCCCAGCUACUCGGGAGGCUGAGGCAGGAGAAUGGCGUGAACCCAGGAGGCGGAGCUUGCAGUGAGAUCGCGCCACUGCACUCCAGCCUGGGCGACAGAGCAAGACUCCGUCUCAAAAAAAAAAAAGAAAAAGAAAAAGAAAAAAGAAAAAAAGAAAGAAACAAUUAGCCCUCCAGAUACACCUAGACCCUGGGGAAGACACAGCCAGAUGAGAUGCUUGGACACAUAGCGGGGAGAUACCGACAUACUCAGGGAGAAUCACUCAGCUAGAUACACACAAACACACACAGGAGACAGACAGGAAGAGACACAGCCAGGUGGGCACUGCCACGCUCCUGGGUACACACAGACCCUCGGACUCAGGAAGAGAAACUGACCCCGAGGAUCCCGAUAUUCCUAAACACAUUCAAGGGUAAGUCCAGAUCCUCUGAUGGACUGGCACACACGUGCAGAAAUACACCUGAUACGCCAGACACCAUCAGGAAGAUUCUCCCAGACACUCCGAGGCACCCACACACCCACAGAAAGAGACGGCCGCACCGCCUAACACACCCAGACACACUCGGGAGGAGCCGGACACCCUGACAGACCAGACAUACACAAGACACAAGCCUUCUAAGACACUUGGAGACACCUGGGAAGAUACACCUAAGAGAGGAAAGAGCUCCAACCAGACACUGAGACAUCCAGACGCCCUUGGGGAGAUACAGAGGCAGACACCCUCAGGCACCCACAGAAAAAAAUACAGGCAGAUGGCCGGGCAUGGUGACUCAAGCCUGUAAUCCCAGCACUCUGGGAGGCCAAGGCAGGUGGAUCACCUGAGGUCAGGAGUUCGAGACCAGCCUGGCCAACAUGGUGAAACCCUGUCUCUACUAAAAAUACAAAAAAAUUAGCCGGGCAUGUCAGUGUGCAUCUGUAAUCCCAGCUACUCAGGAGGCUGAGACAGGAGAAUCGCUUGAACCCACUAGGCGGAGGUUGCAGUGAGCUGAGAUUGCGCCACUGUACUCCAGCCUGGGUGACAGAGCCAGACUCCAUCUCAAAAAAAAAAAAAAUACAGGCAGACUGAUCCAUCCCAGUUCCCAGGGGAAGGGACACAGUCAGCAACUCCAUACACCCACACACACCUAACAGAUAUCACUAUGCCCUCCAAUACCACUGGGACCCUUGGUGGGGCAUGGUGGUUCACGCCUAUAAUCCCUGCACUUUGGAGGGCUGAGACAGGAGGAUCCCUUGAGCUCAGGAGUUCAAGACCAGACUGGGCAACAUAGUAACACCCUGCCUCUAUUUAAAAAACAACAGGCCAGGCGCGGUGGCUCACACCUGUAAUCCCAGCACUUUGGGAGGCCGAGGUGGCCAGAUCACCUGAGGUCAGGAGUUCCAGACCAGCCUGACCAACAUGGUGAAACCCCGUUUCUACUAAAAAUACAAAAUCAGCCGGGCAUGGUGGCGCAUGCCUGUAAUCCCAGCUACUCGGAAGGCUGAGGCAGAAUCGCUUGAACCUGCUAGGCGGAAGUUGCGGGUUCAAGGUUCAACUCCCCGCUAGGUGGAGGUUGGGGGAUCACGCCAUUGCACGCCAGCCUGGGUGAAACUCUGUCUCAAAAAUAAAUAAAUAAAUAAAUAAAUAAAUAAAUAACAACAACUGGGCACCUGGGCCCAUGUAGGAGGAGAUGCAGUCGCCACUCAGUGACUCAGAGAAACUGUGGAAUCUCUGGGAAACACCCGGGACGCACAUGGGCAGACAGACACACAGCCAGCCAGGCAGACACUUGCUAGAAGGCGAUAAAGGUGAUGGACGAGUGCUAGGACACACAGCAGGCGCUGGGACACCGAUGGGGGCCCCAGCGGCUGCACCCACCGAUCUUGUACUCGCAGGGCCUGAGUCUGGGGUCCUCCAGGAUGUUGAGUCUCCGUUUCUUCCUCC